This 253-nucleotide ribosomal RNA is filed under the name uncultured bacterium. RNAcentral describes it as "partial 16S ribosomal RNA". It matches the Rfam family "Bacterial small subunit ribosomal RNA", at positions 524 to 776 of the family's 1533-position model. The record is from RNAcentral.
UACGUAGGGAGCAAGCGUUGUCCGGAAUCAUUGGGCGUAAAGCGCGUGUAGGCGGCCCGGUAAGUCCGCUGUGAAAGUCCAGGGCUCAACCCUGGGAUGCCGGUGGAUACUGUCGGGCUCGAGUCCGGAAGAGGCGAGUGGAAUUCCUGGUGUAGCGGUGAAAUGCGCAGAUAUCAGGAGGAACACCAAUGGCGAAGGCAGCUCGCUGGGACGGUACUGACGCUGAGGCGCGAAAGCGUGGGGAGCAAACAGG